RNAcentral lists this ribosomal RNA (253 nucleotides) under uncultured bacterium. RNAcentral describes it as "partial 16S ribosomal RNA". It matches the Rfam family "Bacterial small subunit ribosomal RNA", at positions 524 to 776 of the family's 1533-position model. The record is from RNAcentral.
UACAGAGGGGGCUAGCGUUGUUCGGAAUUACUGGGCGUAAAGGGCGCGUAGGCGGCCCGCUAAGUCGAACGUGAAAUCCCCGGGCUCAACCGGGGAACUGCGUCUGAUACUGGUUGGCUUGAGUGCAGGAGAGGAACGCGGAAUUCCAGGUGUAGCGGCGAAAUGCGUAGAUAUCUGGAGGAACACCGGUGGCGAAGGCGGCGUUCUGGACUGCAACUGACACUGAGGAACGAAAGCCAGGGGAGCAAACGGG